Gorilla gorilla gorilla (western lowland gorilla) is the source of this 828-nucleotide long non-coding RNA. RefSeq lists it as uncharacterized. The record is from RefSeq and is a predicted model, not a curated record. The transcript has 3 exons. NCBI's taxonomy places the organism in Eukaryota, Metazoa, Chordata, Mammalia, Primates, Hominidae.
GUCAUCUUUCCUGGAGCUGCUUCUUUCAUUUGCCUUUUUCUUCUUGGAGGCACCUGCUUUGUUCCUACUAAUAACAAGAAAUGCAUCACAAUGCUUCCUCAGGCUUAACAUGCCUAAGGAUCACCUGGGGAUCUAGUUAAAAUGCAGAUGCGGAUUCAGUAUGUCUGGGUCUUGCUGAGAUCCUGCACUUCUAACAAGCAUCCAGGUGAUGCCAAUGCUGCUGGCCCAUGGACCACGCUGAGAAGCAAGGCACCAGGACUUAGGGAAAGAGGUACCAUGUGACUUUGUCCACUUAUGCUCACACCCAAUAACAAAGAAGAAAAAAAGGAGAAAAGGAUCAGAAAGAAGAAGAUGAGGCAGUGGCAGCAGAAGAGGAGGUAGCUGGAAAAACUUCCAUCUUUUGUUGCCUUAUAUACACCAAUCCGACCUUGCUCAACUCUGCCUGAGCUGCAUAGUCACCUCUAAGCUUUCCCAAACCACAGAUGAUUGGAGGCCACCCCAGAAUUACUGAGUCUGAAUCUGCUGCAGUUGUGCCCAGGUGUGUGUGCAGUGUUUAAGUUCCCCAUGAACCAUUCUAAUGCACAACCAGAUUUGAGCAAUACUGGAUGGGGCAGUUUACCUCAGAAAAGAUCUUAUUUCAUUGUCAUGACAACCACAGAAAGUACAUACUUUGAUCUUCAUCUUAUAAACAAUGAAUCCAAGUCACUGAGAAGUUAAAAACUUGCUCAGGAUAACACGGAAGAUGACCAUCUUUUACUACCCAACGACAUCUUUCUACCAAUGUGAACAGAGACUAGCAGCACAGUGAUCACCUGCAGAUAGACCUGG